Molecule: transfer RNA, 72 nt
Filed under: Furculomyces boomerangus
Lineage: Eukaryota; Fungi; Kickxellomycota; Harpellomycetes; Harpellales; Harpellaceae
Also listed under: 1 other name
Rfam family: tRNA
About the family: Transfer RNA (tRNA) molecules are approximately 80 nucleotides in length. Their secondary structure includes four short double-helical elements and three loops (D, anti-codon, and T loops).
Source: Rfam by way of RNAcentral
AGAAUCGUAACUUAACGGUAAAAGUUUUUGUUUGAUAAGCAAAAUAUAAUGGUUCAAUUCCAUUCGAUUCUA